GCGCCCAUAGCUCAGUUGAUAGAGUGGUGGGACGAUACCCCACGGUCCCGGCUUCAAGUCACGGCGGUCGCU
This is a non-coding RNA of Phthorimaea operculella (potato tuberworm), 72 nucleotides long. The record is from the annotation of a GenBank genome assembly. NCBI's taxonomy places the organism in Eukaryota, Metazoa, Arthropoda, Insecta, Lepidoptera, Gelechiidae.